CCUACGGGAGGCAGCAGUGAGGAAUAUUGGUCAAUGGGCGUACGCCUGAACCAGCCAAGUCGCGUGAGGGAAGACUGCCCUAUGGGUUGUAAACCUCUUUUGUCAGGGAGCAAAUGGCGCUACGUGUAGCGUUAUCGAGAGAACCUGAAGAAAAAGCAUCGGCUAACUCCGUGCCAGCAGCCGCGGUAAUACGGAUGAUGCGAGCGUUAUCCGGAUUUAUUGGGUUUAAAGGGUGCGUAGGCGGACUGCCAAGUCAGCGGUAAAAUCGCGGGGCUCAACCUCGCUCCGCCGUUGAAGCUGGCGUUCUUGAGUGGGCGUGAAGUAUGCGGCAUGCGUGGUGUAGCGGU
RNAcentral lists this ribosomal RNA (347 nucleotides) under uncultured bacterium. RNAcentral's name for it is "partial 16S ribosomal RNA". It matches the Rfam family "Bacterial small subunit ribosomal RNA", at positions 338 to 682 of the family's 1533-position model. The record is from RNAcentral.